GGAAAGAAGGCCUAUUGGGAUGGUGAACAUAAAGAUCCAGAGAGGCAACGACUUAAUUGACCUUCUUACCUUCCUCCAAACAUAUUCAUCGACAUCCCUGGACGAUGCUGCCGUCUCAAACAACGUUGCUGUUGAUUGGACUUCAUAACCCAACCAACUGUCUCGAGGUUAUGACUGAUCAGAGACCUCUGGGACUUUGAUCUCUCGGCCUCUGGUCUGAUAUAUUCGUUCAGUCUGUUUGCGAUGCAUUAGAAAAGGCUGAGGUCUGUGCAUUAUACUUGGCCUCUACAGUAUUUGUCACCAACAUGGCUUGGUCAAUCGAAGUUUGCCUACCGGGCGCGUGCGGUGUUGUAUAUUAUCGACUGGAGUCCAUGAGAACCUUUAGAUGAUAUUUAGGGUUUUUCUA
Non-coding RNA from Punica granatum (pomegranate), 406 nucleotides. NCBI's taxonomy places the organism in Eukaryota, Viridiplantae, Streptophyta, Magnoliopsida, Myrtales, Lythraceae. The record is from RefSeq and is a predicted model, not a curated record.